Molecule: long non-coding RNA, 217 nt
Filed under: Carica papaya (papaya)
Lineage: Eukaryota; Viridiplantae; Streptophyta; Magnoliopsida; Brassicales; Caricaceae
Description: long non-coding RNA (CPAP_LNC015282)
Source: RNAcentral
CAUUCGUUCUUCUUCUCCUUUCCUUCUCUCUCUAGAUCACUCCCUCUCUCUCUAAGCUCUUGGAGGAUGGAAGAAUGAAAUGGAAGUGAUGAUGAAAAAUGGAAGGAAGGGGUCUAUAUUUAUAAAAAGUGAGGACCGUUGAAUUUAUGCCAAAUGGUAAAAUUAGGUGAAGAGAGAGAAUGUUGAGUGAAAAAUGAGCGAUGUAACGUGACGCAAC